AAUUUUUAAUAAUGGAUUUCUUGGUUUUGGUAUUGAUGAAGAAUAUAGUAAAAUGUAAUAAGUAAUGUGAAUUGUAGAAUUUAAUAAAUUAUUGAAUUUUUAAAUAUAUAUUAUAUUUAUUAAUAUUUUAGCGAGUAUAUUUGUUUGAGCGUUA
Ribosomal RNA from Neurospora crassa OR74A, 154 nucleotides. It matches the Rfam family "5.8S ribosomal RNA". Rfam says of the family: 5.8S ribosomal RNA (5.8S rRNA) is a component of the large subunit of the eukaryotic ribosome. It is transcribed by RNA polymerase I as part of the 45S precursor that also contains 18S and 28S rRNA. The record is from Rfam. NCBI's taxonomy places the organism in Eukaryota, Fungi, Ascomycota, Sordariomycetes, Sordariales, Sordariaceae.